ACUAAUUAUUUUGAUUACCGCAUACUAGACAAUAUUAUUAUCGUAGUGAUAGUGAUAAAUAGUAAUAUAUAAAUAAUAUUAUAAUAAUACUUAAAUUAUUAAAUUCAUAACUGAGGCUUGAGAGUAUAGGUAUAUAAACAAGCUUACAAGCAGAGAGUAAUUGUAACCUGUAAGUAAUCUGCUAAUGUGAGCCGACGAUGCAUCCGUUUUGACUCUCGAGGAUUAGCAUAGGUUUUAGCCUAUGCUCUACAAGUACCUAGCGUAAUUGUUAUUGUUGUUGUUAUCGAUCACGUCUGGGGUUUCUUUAGGUUAUUGUUUGAGUAGCAUGACAACAUUUAAAUGGUUUAUGGUAUCCAGCAAAACGCGUACCAGCUAAUAGAAGGACGUUGUCGUUACGUUAUCGCUUCCACGCCAGAUCAAAGGAAACGGGUGUAUGAAUACUGUUAAACACAAGCCGGGAUUGCAACUUCAGUACCUGUUGCAAGGAGGCUCAUACCGAAACACCAAACUACACGAAAUAACCAUGAUUGGGGCGAUGCCUGCUGUGGCCGUCCGCCACGAGCGGCGGAGGCAAGAGAAAAAAGUGGUAUGCGUGAAUAAUCUGAACACCGGUGACCGGGAAGGCACAUCAAACACCACUGGAAACCGGAGACCGAGUCUUUUAACACUGCAGUCACCGCAUUCUCAGACCGGCACACCUAUCACUUCUCCGCCGUACAUCCAAAACACGCUGCCAGAUAUCUAUGUCUGCUCAAAAGGUAUAUUAAAAAAAAAAACUGCAUGAAAUAGAGCCAUUUCGGUCGAUCCGAGCGGGACAGCAAAGGUACUCGUUAACAUGAUACUUGCAAAUUCCACAUGAGAAAUUGUUUAUUCAUGUGGCCGACCCGUAAACGUGUGUCUCAAAUGCCGUACGGAUAUGUUUGCCACAGGUGUCCGUGCUGCACAUAGCCGUGGUGACUAUACUGAUCGGGGCCAUACUACUGAUCGUCGGGCUUGUUCAGCUGAAGCCGGGCGCAGACGCGUCUCAGUACAAGUUCGUGUUGAUCUUCUCCGGUCUGAUCACCACGUUGGUCGGCAUCCUCGCGGCCAUCGUCCGGUGCUGCCUGCUGCCUUGGGUCUCCAAACGUCGGCAAAGAAGGUCCACCCCGUCAACGCCGGGCAUGCUGUUGACCGCAUAAUACUGGAGAGGACGUAGCGCCGCCACCGCAAUAUGAUCAAGAUUCCUGCUUAUCCACUUAAUUCACACACACACACACACACACAUAUGCGAGCGUUUGUUAGUGACGUGAGUCAUAUAUUAUGUACAGACAAAAUUAUGUUAUUUAAUUUUUACUGUCUGCCGCCGGCACAAAGUUAUCCGAAAAUGAUCUAUAUAUUUGGUGUAAAUACUAGACAUAUAUAUUUAAUAGCCGGCAUAAUAAAUAAAAGAGACACCGAAAGUUUAUACAGGUUUAAUUUCAGGAUCGAUAGCGUAAAUCGGUUAAACUGUGGUUGGUUCUAGCAUGCGGUAGACAAGUUGAAUCUUUGGUGUCUCUAUACACAAUAUAUUAUAUAAUAUAAUUGUAUUUUAAUACAUAUUUAUACAAUGCCAAGCACAUACACACACACAAAUACAUGGGUCUGUGAUUUUAACUCUCACCGACAUUGUUCGAUGACCGGUCUGAGUAGUGAGUUUAUUAAGAUGAUUUACUUAGUAGGAACAUUCAAAUAAAAAUUGUUUUAUUCUUGUGUUUUAAAAUUGUAAAGUGAAAAUUCUUUUUUAAUUUUUGUUAUGCUGUUUAUGAUUUUCUAUCUUAUAUUUUAAUAUCCACGGUAAAUAAUCCUAAACAGUGAUUGUAACUCGAUCUUAAUUGUUAAAUAGGUACGUUUCACAUUUUGCACUUAUGACAUAUUAUAUAGUUUAUACCUAUUAUACAAAUACAUUAUACAAUGUAUAUUUUUAAAGUAUUUUUGGGACCAACAAUAUGAAACAUGAAACCAACAUUUCUGGAUCAUUUUAGUCCGAUUCACAUGCUACAUAUCUCUAAAUAGUUUUUACCACAAAUAAGCAAUGUAUUCACUAUAGUUUUAAUUUUUUUAAUAUUCCAAACCUGGGGCUUUAUUUAAUUUUAAUUUUAUAACUAUAAUACCUAUAGUUUAAGUUUUAUGUUAAAAAUAUACAAACUUCAAAUCGCUGGUCCAUGUUAAUGUCAAAGCAACAAUAAUUGUGACUUUGCUAGUUUUUGGAUUUAUGCCGUAACUUUUGAAGUCUUCCAUUAUUAUUUGUUAUCCUAUAUAUUAUGCAUAUAUUAUUUUAAUUGACUGACCUUUAACAAAACUGACCAAAGUUAAUUUAACCGUUCAAUCAAAAUGUCGUAAUGUCCUUAAUCAAAAUAUAGCACUUUUAUGAUUCGCUCAAAUUUAAAUUAAAUAAUAUAUUCUUUGUUAUUGGCCAACUUAAUUCGUAUAAGAAACUUAAGAAUGAAUUAUUAUUAAAGUUAACAACAUGUUCAGUAAUUUUGUUAGUACAAUAUUGACAUAAAUUAUGAUCUAUUCUCAUAAUCUGAUUUUUAAACAAAGUUAAAAUAAUCUUGAAUCUUAUAUCAAAGGUAUUUUAUAUGAAUACAAAAAAAUAUAUUGAAAGGAUUAAAAUGUUAGAUACUUAAUAGUUAAUUUUAUAAAAAUGUAUUAGUAUUUUAUAACUGUUCAAGUCGUUUUUGUUUAUAGUAUAUAUUAUAAUAUAUACUAAUGGAAUCAUUAGCAAUCUCUAAUUUUUUGAGUAAUGCAAACAGAGUGAUUAUUAAAAGGGUGUAAGUAUACACAUACACUAUUUAAAAAUGGGGCAUUAAUUUAUAUAAUAAUUGUUUAAUACAAAUGUUUUACCCCAUUUGUGGAAUUGCCCAAUUCAUGUAAUGAACAAUGAUAAAUACCGCUAAUUUUAUGAACUGAGAAACAAACAAUUGUUUUAAUAGAUCCUACAUUAAGAUUUUACACAGUUGAGCUUAAAGGACUAUAAUUUUUUAUUUAUUUUUCAAUUUUAUAAGUGAAUUUUAGGUUGCAAAGAUAAUUGAUACAAAUAUUCUAAAAAUUUUAAAAAUUGUACAUGUUAUUUUUCUUUUUAUACCAAACCACGUGCAUUAAUAAUCAAUAGUAUUUAACAUUUUAACCUUAUAAUUUUUAUUUAUUUUUUAUCAUAUAAUUUUUGUCACUAGCCAUACAUAAUAUUAAAAAUUUUAAAUUAUAAAUAUAUAUAUAUAUAUUUAUAUUGUUUUAUUGUAUUUAAUUUUAAAUGAAUGAAAUUAACUAAAAUAAUAAAAAAUGAAAAAUUACAUCACAAUAUAUCUUUAAUUUACCAAGAUCUAGAGUUUUUCUGUUCACGAAAUUGGGAAUUUCACAAAUGAGGUUUACAUAAGCACAAACCAUGUGUAAUUUACAUAAAUUAGUUAUGUUAUUAUGUUAUAGGAAAAAAAUAAUAAAUGUAAAUGUUGUUAUUAUUUUAUUUGAUAUACAAUUUACAGAAUCGUUAUAAUUAUAAACUACAGUGCAUGGAAUUCUCAUAAGGCUCGUCUGAAUUUGUGACCUUGAAAGUGACCAUUUUUUUAUUUAUAUAAGACUGUUAAGUGUUUUUGUGCCAAAAAAAUUUCAUUUUUUAUAUUGUAAUAUUACAUUUUCUAAAAAAAUCUUAUUAAUGUCACAAAAAUAAUUAUUGUUUUAUUUAAGCUUUUGAUUUAUUGUAUGGAUAAAAAAAAUAGUUUAUCCUUGGACCUUUUUGAUAAUCACUCAUUGUUUAAAAAUUAAUUUUAUUUCAAUGAAUUAAUUUAUUUUAUAAUAGAUAUAAUAAUAAAAAUAAGUAUCAUCAAUUAUGUUCUCUUAUAAUAAUUUGUCUAAUAUUUAAAAAAAUAUUUUUUCUUAUUUUUUACACAUGAAUAUAAUAGUAAUAACUAUAUGAUCAAUCACUAAUGUUUAUUGACAUUUUUAAAAUCAAAUAUGUUGAACAUUUUUGUUCUGUUGAUCUGUUAAUUCUUAUGAUAUUUUAUUUUUAACGUUAUUAAAAAUUAAGGAAAAUAUAUAUAAGUUACCUUCCAGGAAUUUUUUACCAAGAAAAAUUGUGAUAAUGUUAGUAAUUUUUAGUAGUAAAACAUAUUUGAAUACAAAAUUGAAAAUGUAUGUUUGAUAUGAAUAUAAGUAGUAUUUAUUGCAAUUGCACUUUAAAUCCGCCCAAUCUAAUCUCUUAAUCAUUUGGUUUUGUAUAUUUUGUUCCAAUGUUUAUUCAAAUUGUUAAUAAUGUACCAUUUAUAAGGUGCAUUUAUAUAUAAUAUGUGUUUAAUAAUAGAUAAAAAAAAAAAAAAAAAAAAAAAAA
This 4339-nucleotide unclassified non-coding RNA is filed under the name Acyrthosiphon pisum (pea aphid). RNAcentral's name for it is "uncharacterized LOC100574599, transcript variant X1". The record is from RNAcentral. Lineage: Eukaryota; Metazoa; Arthropoda; Insecta; Hemiptera; Aphididae.